This 275-nucleotide long non-coding RNA is filed under the name Chinchilla lanigera (long-tailed chinchilla). RNAcentral's name for it is "lncRNA (ENSCLAG00000022947.1)". Lineage: Eukaryota; Metazoa; Chordata; Mammalia; Rodentia; Chinchillidae. The record is from RNAcentral.
CGGCCUGCAGGGGGCGGCGCCGUCCAAUCCGCGGUUGCAAGGCCCGGCCCGGCCCCGGGCACCAGCCAAUGGGGAGCGACUCCGGCAGCGCUCCCGCCCCGUCCCCUAGGGACCCGCGGCUAGGAGUCCCGGGCGUCCGACGCGGCCGGGCGCGAGUUAGGUUCGGGUUGCCGUGUCGCGAGCUCAGUCUGGUGCCUAAAUCGCCGCGAUCGGAGGGGCUGCCGUCAGCGGGAGCGCCGGCCACACUUCGCUUCAGGACACCGCACGAUCUUUAA